RNAcentral lists this ribosomal RNA (728 nucleotides) under uncultured organism. RNAcentral describes it as "bacterial SSU rRNA". It matches the Rfam family "Bacterial small subunit ribosomal RNA", at positions 43 to 815 of the family's 1533-position model. The record is from RNAcentral.
UCUGCUUAACACAUGCAAGUCGAACGCAACCUUCGGGUUGAGUGGCGGACGGGUGAGUAACGCGUGAGAAUCUGCCUUGGGGUCGGGGACAACCACUGGAAACGGUGGCUAAUACCGGAUAAGCCUUUGGGUAAAAGAUUUAUUGCCCCAAGAGGAGCUCGCGUCUGAUUAGCUAGUUGGUGAGGUAAAAGCUCACCAAGGCAGCGAUCAGUAGCUGGUCUGAGAGGACGAUCAGCCACACUGGGACUGAGACACGGCCCAGACUCCUACGGGAGGCAGCAGUGGGGAAUUUUCCGCAAUGGGCGAAAGCCUGACGGAGCAAGACCGCGUGAGGGAGGAAGGCUCUUGGGUUGUAAACCUCUUUUCUCAGGGAAGAAGCUCUGACGGUACCUGAGGAAUCAGCCUCGGCUAACUCCGUGCCAGCAGCCGCGGUAAUACGGAGGAGGCAAGCGUUAUCCGGAAUUAUUGGGCGUAAAGCGUCCGCAGGUGGCGAUUCAAGUCUGCUGUCAAAGCACGGGGCUUAACUCCGUUAAAGGGCGUGGAAACUGAAUAGCUAGAGUGCCGUAGGGGUAGAGGGAAUUCCCGGUGUAGCGGUGACAUGCGUAGAGAUCGGGAAGAACAUCGGUGGCGAAAGCGCUCUACUGGACGGCAACUGACACUCAGGGACGANAGCUAGGGGAGCGAAUGGGAUUAGAUACCCCAGUAGUCCUAGCUGUAAACGAUGGAUA